Molecule: ribosomal RNA, 251 nt
Filed under: uncultured bacterium
Lineage: Bacteria
Description: partial 16S ribosomal RNA
Rfam family: Bacterial small subunit ribosomal RNA
Source: RNAcentral
UACAGAGGUCCCAAGCGUUGUUCGGAUUCAUUGGGCGUAAAGGGUGCGUAGGUGGCGCCGUAAGUCGGGUGUGAAAUUUCGGAGCUUAACUCCGAAACUGCAUUCGAUACUGCGGUGCUUGAGGACUGGAGAGGAGACUGGAAUCAUGGUGUAGCAGUGAAUGCGUAGAGAUCAUGAGGAAGACCAGUGGCGAAGGCGGGUCUCUGGACAGUUCCUGAUACUGAGGCACGAAGGCCAGGGGAGCAAACGGG